This 223-nucleotide unclassified non-coding RNA is filed under the name uncultured Phellodon. RNAcentral's name for it is "sequence contains ITS2". Lineage: Eukaryota; Fungi; Basidiomycota; Agaricomycetes; Thelephorales; Thelephoraceae. The record is from RNAcentral.
AGUUCUCGACUGCCUUUAUGGUGAAGUUGGAUUUGGAGGAUGAUCUUGCUGGCGGCUCUUUCGUGGGCUUCGUCGGCUCCUCUUGAACGCAUGAGCGUUUCCUUGUGCAUCAUUGCGAAGGGACUCCGACGUGAUAAUCAUCUGCGUCGGACGUCUUGUUCGCUUUUUGGGCGCGCGAGGGGAUCGUGGAUCCCGCAUCUUUUUUGGGUGCGUCUUUGACCAA